This 207-nucleotide unclassified non-coding RNA is filed under the name Hevea brasiliensis (rubber tree). Lineage: Eukaryota; Viridiplantae; Streptophyta; Magnoliopsida; Malpighiales; Euphorbiaceae. The record is from RNAcentral.
GCCCUUUUUGAAAUUACAAAUUUUAAAAUACCGAAUCGAAUUUUAAAUCCCUUCUGGUUUCACAAGCCAAUGCAAAUGUUACCUUGAUGUUUGCUUGCUUGAAGUUUCUGCAGUCUUUACAUGAAUUUGAUACUAGGACUUGUUUUCAUUUAGAGCAAUCCAUAUGAUCUGUAUAGCUGCAGGUGUUCAUUUAUUCAUUGAGAAGAG